Aedes albopictus (Asian tiger mosquito) is the source of this 58-nucleotide non-coding RNA. Lineage: Eukaryota; Metazoa; Arthropoda; Insecta; Diptera; Culicidae. The record is from Rfam.
UAGCCUAGUGAUUAAGGCUAUGGAUCGCCAAUCCGGAGACGACGGGUUCGAUUCCCGU